RNAcentral lists this ribosomal RNA (161 nucleotides) under Heterospilus sp. ASDOR274-10. RNAcentral's name for it is "partial 28S ribosomal RNA". Lineage: Eukaryota; Metazoa; Arthropoda; Insecta; Hymenoptera; Braconidae. The record is from RNAcentral.
UAUAUGUAUGANGUUAUGAUGCGAGUUACUCUNUGUAGUAUUGCUUGCACAUAUUUAUACAUUUAUUUGCAAGAUGUUGUCGGCGUGCACUUCUCCCCUAGUAGAACGUCGCGACCCGUUGGGUGUUGGUCUACGACCCGAGUGGUAGACUUUAAUAUUUU